AGUGGUCUACAGGGCCACCAAAGCCAAGGUGGGGGCUACGUCGACUGAAGAAAAAUACACAAUCUAAAAGUUGUGAAUUAUGUUUUAUUUAGGAAACUUGCUGAGGACUAUAGCCCAGGAGGUAGCCUCUCAGUUCAGAGGCAUUACUCUCAAGUAAGGGAGGAGUUUUUGCUGGGAAAAAAAAACAAAAAUAUAAACAAACAUGUAGUUUAAUAUCAAAAGACUAUUGCUAAUUACCAAAACAGCAACAAUGAAAAAACUUAUCUCAAGUUGAUGAUUUUAGUGUUUUUCUAAGGGAAGAUGCAAGAGUCUGGGUGCAUUGAAAUUAUUCCUUAGAUAUAGAUCUUAACUAUGUAGGGCCAGUAUCUUGUUUUUCUCUACCUUGAAUUCCCCCCAGGGCCCACGGGCAGGGGCAGCUAUAGUGGCUGAUGACUUGAUGGCUUGUAACAUCUGUUGUUUACUGAAGUGGUAGGCAACUUUUUUAAAAUUUUUUAUCUGCAGCUGGGAUCAAGUCACAAGGGAAGACCCUCCACCCCUGACUGGGCCAGAAACAGCCACCGUUUGCCCAAGCACAAAGCUGCUUUCUUCCUGACCUUUGACUCUUCCCACAAAGAAGUUCAUGACAACGGUGUUUUCAGAAGCCAAUACCAUAUCCUCCUGUUUCUACUUGCAAGAAAAUACCUGGGCUCCCACUUUCUCCAACAAGGGAAGCUAAAGCACUCUUGGAAGCGGAAACCACAGAGCCACUGGUAAGCCGUCCAGAUUGUGAGUCAUAGAC
This 778-nucleotide long non-coding RNA is filed under the name Sus scrofa (pig). RNAcentral's name for it is "lncRNA (ENSSSCG00025021648.1)". Lineage: Eukaryota; Metazoa; Chordata; Mammalia; Artiodactyla; Suidae. The record is from RNAcentral.